GGAUGUGAGGGCGAUCUGGCUGCGACAUCCAUCUCCCCAUUGAUAGGCAGGGUUGAUUCAUUCAGCUGAUCUGGCUGGCUAGGCGGUGUUCCCUUCCUCCCUCAGCACUCCGUGUGUGUCUUCCCUGAAGCUGUGCACUCCGUCACAUAGGACAAACACCUUGGAUAGAGGAAGACCAUUUCCUCAGUGAAGGUAUACAAGGAGUAGCUGCAGUCCCCUGCUAGAACCUUCAAACAGGCUCUUACCAUCAAUGUUUUAUUUGUUAUUGUAAGACAGGGUCUCACUAAAUUUACUAAAUUGCCCAGGCUGGAUUUGAACUUGUGAUCCUCCUGCUU
RNAcentral lists this small nuclear RNA (335 nucleotides) under Chinchilla lanigera (long-tailed chinchilla). Its description in RNAcentral is "7SK RNA (ENSCLAG00000021972.1)". It matches the Rfam family "7SK RNA". From Rfam's summary of the family: 7SK was discovered as an abundant small nuclear RNA in the mid-70s but a possible function has only recently been suggested. Two independent studies have found that 7SK RNA binds the CDK9/cyclin T complex (known as elongation factor P-TEFb). The record is from Rfam by way of RNAcentral. Lineage: Eukaryota; Metazoa; Chordata; Mammalia; Rodentia; Chinchillidae.